AGAGUUUGAUUCUGGCUCAGGAUGAACGCUAGCGAUAGGCCUAACACAUGCAAGUCGAGGGGCAGCACAUGAAGUAGCAAUACGGAUGGUGGCGACCGGCGCACGGGUGAGUAACGCGUAUGCAACCUGCCUACAACAGGGGAAUAACCCGUUGAAAGACGGACUAAUACCCCAUAACACAGGGAUCCCGCAUGGGAAUAUUUGUUAAAGAUUUAUCGGUUGUAGAUGGGCAUGCGUUCCAUUAGCUUGUUGGUGAGGUAACGGCUCACCAAGGCAACGAUGGAUAGGGGAACUGAGAGGUUUAUCCCCCACACUGGUACUGAGACACGGACCAGACUCCUACGGGAGGCAGCAGUGAGGAAUAUUGGUCAAUGGACGCAAGUCUGAACCAGCCACGUCGCGUGAAGGAAGACGGCCCUACGGGUUGUAAACUUCUUUUGUAAGGGAAUAAAGUGUAGUACGUGUACUAUUUUGCAUGUACCUUACGAAUAAGGAUCGGCUAACUCCGUGCCAGCAGCCGCGGUAAUACGGAGGAUCCGAGCGUUAUCCGGAUUUAUUGGGUUUAAAGGGUGCGCAGGCGGGAGAUUAAGUCGGCGGUGAAAUUUUGCAGCUCAACUGUAAAAGUGCCUUCGAAACUGGUUUUCUUGAGUGUGGAUGAAGUAGGCGGAAUUUGUGGUGUAGCGGUGAAAUGCAUAGAUAUCACGAGGAACUCCGAUUGCGCACGCAGCUUACUAAACCAUAACUGACGCUCAUGCACGAAGGCGUGGGGAUCAAACAGGAUUAGAUACCCUGGUAGUC
Molecule: ribosomal RNA, 798 nt
Filed under: uncultured Porphyromonadaceae bacterium
Lineage: Bacteria; Pseudomonadati; Bacteroidota; Bacteroidia; Bacteroidales; Porphyromonadaceae
Description: bacterial SSU rRNA
Rfam family: Bacterial small subunit ribosomal RNA
Source: RNAcentral